AUAAUUUAAGGAGGUUAAAACAAAUAAGUUGAAGAAAAAAACAAUAAUGUAAAUAUGAAAAAAAUAUAUUUAAAUGUGAUGGUCACAAACUUACAAUUAUUGGUUAGACCAAAGAAAAUAUGGGGAAGGAAGAGAUGAGACGUCAGUGGUUUGAUUGGCAAAACCAAAAUACAAUGUCAUGUCCACACAAUUUGGAGCGCGUGAGAUUCUUACAUAACAGCGCGUGGAUAGGAUUUGAUCAUGAAUGCCAAGAUUCUUAUGUGUUCUUGUAAUACUAUUAUAUAUGGAUCUUUAAAGUCUUACAAGUUACCUAUAAAAAAAAAAAAAAAAAAAUUAUAGACAUGUCUCUAUUAUUAUGAUUCCUUCCAAAAAUAAAACACUCCAAAUAUUUUUCUUUUUUCUUUUCUCUUAUUGAUAAAGAAAAGACUCUAAUAAUUUAAAA
This 442-nucleotide long non-coding RNA is filed under the name Capsella rubella. Its description in RNAcentral is "long non-coding RNA (CRUB_LNC005100)". Lineage: Eukaryota; Viridiplantae; Streptophyta; Magnoliopsida; Brassicales; Brassicaceae. The record is from RNAcentral.